This 73-nucleotide transfer RNA is filed under the name Phycisphaerae bacterium. RNAcentral describes it as "tRNA-Thr". It matches the Rfam family "tRNA". Rfam says of the family: Transfer RNA (tRNA) molecules are approximately 80 nucleotides in length. Their secondary structure includes four short double-helical elements and three loops (D, anti-codon, and T loops). The record is from RNAcentral. Lineage: Bacteria; Pseudomonadati; Planctomycetota; Phycisphaerae.
GCCACCGUAGCUCAACUGGCAGAGCGGCGGUUUUGUAAACCGCAGGUUGCGGGUUCGAGUCCCGCCGGUGGCU